AGACCCGAAACCCGGUGAUCUAGCCAUGGGCAGGUUGAAGGUUGGGUAACACUAACUGGAGGACCGAACCGACUAAUGUUGAAAAAUUAGCGGAUGACUUGUGGCUGGGGGUGAAAGGCCAAUCAAACCGGGAGAUAGCUGGUUCUCCCCGAAAGCUAUUUAGGUAGCGCCUCGUGAAUUCAUCUCCGGGGGUAGAGCACUGUUUCGGCAAGGGGGUCAUCCCGACUUACCAACCCGAUGCAAACUGCGAAUACCGGAGAAUGUUAUCACGGGAGACACACGGCGGGUGCUAACGUCCGUCGUGAAGAGGGAAACAACCCAGACCGCCAGCUAAGGUCCCAAAGUCAUGGUUAAGUGGGAAACGAUGUGGGAAGGCCCAGACAGCCAGGAUGUUGGCUUAGAAGCAGCCAUCAUUUAAAGAAAGCGUAAUAGCUCACUGGUCGAGUCGGCCUGCGCGGAAGAUGUAACGGGGCUAAACCAUGCACCGAAGCUGCGGCAGCGACACUGUGUGUUGUUGGGUAGGGGAGCGUUCUGUAAGCCUGUGAAGGUGUGCUGUGAGGCAUGCUGGAGGUAUCAGAAGUGCGAAUGCUGACAUAAGUAACGAUAAAGCGGGUGAAAAGCCCGCUCGCCGGAAGACCAAGGGUUCCUGUCCAACGUUAAUCGGGGCAGGGUGAGUCGACCCCUAAGGCGAGGCCGAAAGGCGUAGUCGAUGGGAAACAGGUUAAUAUUCCUGUACUUGGUGUUACUGCGAAGGGGGGACGGAGAAGGCUAUGUUGGCCGGGCGACGGUUGUCCCGGUUUAAGCGUGUAGGCUGGUUUUCCAGGCAAAUCCGGAAAAUCAAGGCUGAGGCGUGAUGACGAGGCACUACGGUGCUGAAGCAACAAAUGCCCUGCUUCCAGGAAAAGCCUCUAAGCAUCAGGUAACAUCAAAUCGUACCCCAAACCGACACAGGUGGUCAGGUAGAGAAUACCAAGGCGCUUGAGAGAACUCGGGUGAAGGAACUAGGCAAAAUGGUGCCGUAACUUCGGGAGAAGGCACGCUGAUAUGUAGGUGAAGUCCCUCGCGGAUGGAGCUGAAAUCAGUCGAAGAUACCAGCUGGCUGCAACUGUUUAUUAAAAACACAGCACUGUGCAAACACGAAAGUGGACGUAUACGGUGUGACGCCUGCCCGGUGCCGGAAGGUUAAUUGAUGGGGUCAGCGCAAGCGAAGCUCUUGAUCGAAGCCCCGGUAAACGGCGGCCGUAACUAUAACGGUCCUAAGGUAGCGAAAUUCCUUGUCGGGUAAGUUCCGACCUGCACGAAUGGCGUAAUGAUGGCCAGGCUGUCUCCACCCGAGACUCAGUGAAAUUGAACUCGCUGUGAAGAUGCAGUGUACCCGCGGCAAGACGGAAAGACCCCGUGAACCUUUACUAUAGCUUGACACUGAACAUUGAGCCUUGAUGUGUAGGAUAGGUGGGAGGCUUUGAAGUGUGGACGCCAGUCUGCAUGGAGCCGACCUUGAAAUACCACCCUUUAAUGUUUGAUGUUCUAACGUGGACCCGUGAUCCGGGUUGCGGACAGUGUCUGGUGGGUAGUUUGACUGGGGCGGUCUCCUCCUAAAGAGUAACGGAGGAGCACGAAGGUUGGCUAAUCCUGGUCGGACAUCAGGAGGUUAGUGCAAUGGCAUAAGCCAGCUUGACUGCGAGCGUGACGGCGCGAGCAGGUGCGAAAGCAG
This 1714-nucleotide ribosomal RNA is filed under the name Escherichia coli. Its description in RNAcentral is "partial 23S ribosomal RNA". It matches the Rfam family "Bacterial large subunit ribosomal RNA", at positions 711 to 2408 of the family's 2925-position model. The record is from RNAcentral. Lineage: Bacteria; Pseudomonadati; Pseudomonadota; Gammaproteobacteria; Enterobacterales; Enterobacteriaceae.